This 497-nucleotide ribosomal RNA is filed under the name uncultured bacterium. RNAcentral describes it as "partial 16S ribosomal RNA". It matches the Rfam family "Bacterial small subunit ribosomal RNA", at positions 28 to 507 of the family's 1533-position model. The record is from RNAcentral.
GAUGAACGCUGGCGGCGUGCCUAAUACAUGCAAGUCGAGCGAACAGACGAGGAGCUUGCUCCUCUGACGUUAGCGGCGGACGGGUGAUGCACACGUGGAUAACCUACCGAUAAGACUGGGGUAAGUUCGGGAGACCGGAUCUAGUACCCGACAAGAUAGUGAACGGCAGGGUUCAAUAGUGAAAGACGGUUUUGCUGUCACUUAUACGUGUAUCCGCGCCGCAUUAGCUAGUUGGUAAGGUAACGGCCUACCAAGGCAACGAUGCGUAGCCGACCUGAGAGGAUGAUCAGCCACACUGGAACUGAGACACGGUCCAGACUCCUACGGGAGGCAGCAGUAGGGAAUCUUCCGCAAUGGGCGAAAGCCUGACCGAGCCAUGCCGCGUGAGUGAUGAAGGUCUUCGGAUUGUAAAGCUCUGUUAUUAGGGAAGAACAAAUGUGUAAGUAAACAUGGCUGUUUUGACGGUACCUAAUGAGAAAGCCCCGGCUAACUUCGUG